This is a long non-coding RNA of Perca flavescens (yellow perch), 1330 nucleotides long. RefSeq lists it as uncharacterized. The transcript is spliced from 2 exons. The record is from RefSeq and is a predicted model, not a curated record. Lineage: Eukaryota; Metazoa; Chordata; Actinopteri; Perciformes; Percidae.
CCAAGAACAACCAGCAAGAAUGUUCUCCCCAAGAACACAAGUCCGUACUUUGCAUUCUUGGUACUGAGAAACGCCCAUGGUUUGCAAUUCUGGCACAAACCUCUUGUGAGGGCCGGUCUUGCAGGGAUGAGUCCCAAAUUGGCCAAUUAGUUUUUGGAGUAUGUUUGAGUGACAGCUCAGUGCCUGCCUGCUAACGAUAGAGACUUUGGAGGACACACAAACUACUCUACACAGCGGAUUCCUACAAGAUUAUUAAAGUAGGAGUAUUGAUUAUAUAUUGUAUGUGAUCUACGUUGCAAGCAUGGUUACUAGAAGUUUGUUUUGUUUCUAGCUAAAGCUAUGCAAGUAAGCAUUUAACUCUAAAACAAAUGCUAGCCACGCCAAGUAACAUUGGCUUACUGUAGCUACGUUACGGAGUUAAUUUGCCAUGGGAAUCAGGUAGGCUUAGUGACGCCUUACUCAAGGUCGCUGUAUUAAUAAUCAUUCUCUUUCUGUAGAGAAACCUUGUGGGAUCUGCAAGAACCGAGCAGAGCUACAAUGUUGUCCCAGGUAGGUCUGUAACAACGCUACAGAAAUUGUUGUGCUUGAUAUUGGUCUGAUAAUACACAAUGCUAGGGUAUUUGUUAAGUUGUACAAUGUGGAAUCUGUGAAUAUAAUGUAUUCUAUCUAGAGGUUGACACAAUCAUAAUGUUCCAUCUGUACACAGUUUCUUCUUUUAUUGUAUUGCUGCAAGAUGGCAGACAGACAUUUUUGUCUAUUGUAACGCUUUAAAUUUCACCAAUAUUUAGAAUGAAUGCAUAUUGUAACUACUGUCCAAACUAUGUAGCGUAACUAACACGCCAGGCCCUUGACAAAUACUUUGCUUAGUGAUCAUUAGUGUUUGAUGUGAUGUGCAUGGCUGAUGAAGCAUGGGUCCGGUUGGCUGCCCUGGACUACCUUGGCAGAUUACCCAAAGGAAAAGCAGAUGGAUCAUUUGAGUUACUUCAAGAUUUACAAUAAGAAGUCAAGGAUGUGAAGGACUACAGCCAUAUCCCAGCCCUUCAAAGAAGCUGUCCUGCAGAAAAGGCUGUUUGGACUGGAGCCGUGAGCCAUCAGUGAGCUCAGGAAACCAGAUGAUCCCAGGCGUCUAGGAGUUGUGUGCCAUAUUCCUACACUACUCUCUAAAGUGCCGUUGCAGACACAAGCCAGCAAAGAAAUACAGUUUUCCUUAGGUGAAACUGAAUAUGUGAAAUAUAUACACAUAACAAUUACUUAGUAUGUUUGUGUAUGGUUGGUGAUGAAAAAAAACUGAUCUGAUGAUGUACUGCAAAUAACAAUGCAUUAUAACAGU